RNAcentral lists this long non-coding RNA (14640 nucleotides) under Sorghum bicolor (sorghum). RNAcentral describes it as "long non-coding RNA (SBIC_LNC003942)". The stretch from base 2204 to 2316 matches the Rfam family "U5 spliceosomal RNA". Lineage: Eukaryota; Viridiplantae; Streptophyta; Magnoliopsida; Poales; Poaceae. The record is from RNAcentral.
CAGGCGCCCCGCCCGGGACCGGCGGCAGCGGGCAGGGCAGGUUGAGGUUGGGGCUCCGCCCCGGCGAGCGCUGCGGCGGGUCGCCGGGCUUCGGCGGCAUCGCCAUUGCGACGGGCAGGUCUGCUCCUCUCUCUCUGUCUGUCUCUCUCUGGUCGGCUGGGCUGCGCGUAGUUUUUGGGUCGGGGCUCGGGAAGCGCACGCGGCUACUCCAACUCUUCUUGGCUAGCUGCUCGUAGACAGUGGCGUGUUGGGUUCUGAAAGAGAGUGGAGUGCGUGCGGGAUCUGGGAACGAAGGAGGUGCCGGGUGGGGUGGGGUGGGGUCAUGUGAUCGCCUGCCUUGUUUCGGGCUUUAGGCCUUGUUUAGGCCUUGUUUAGUUCCCAGAAAAUUUUGCAAAAUUUUUCAGAUUCCCCGUCACAUCGAAUCUUUAGACGCAUACAUGGAGUAUUAAAUAUAGACGAAAAUAAAAACUAAUUACACAGUUCGGUCGAAAUUGACGAGACGAAUCUUUUGAGUCUAACUAGUCCAUGAUUGGACAAUAUUUGUCAAAUACAAACGAAAGUACUACAGUGUCGAUUUUACAAAAUUUUUUGGAACUAAACAAGGCCUUAGUUCCCAAAAAAUUUUACAAAAUUUUUCAGAUUUCCCGUCACAUCGAAUCUUUAGACGCAUGCAUAGAGUAUUAAAUACAGAUAAAAAUAAAAACUAAUUACACAGUUUGGUCGAAAUUGACAAGACGAAUCUUUUGAGCCUAGUUAGUCCAUGAUUGGACAAUUUUUGUCAAACACAAACGAAAGUGCUACAGUGUCGAUUUUACAAAAAAUUUUGGAACUAAACAAGGCCUAGUGGGCUGGACACAUCUUGGGUCGCUUCAAGAGCAGAUAAAUGGGCUGGAUUAUGGAUGGACCUGUGGUGGUGAUGCAAUGUUGCUCAUAGGCCUUGGAACACCAAGAACAAGCUAUCAGCGGCGGAAGAAGGGACUUCUAAGAGCAUCUCUAACAAUUUACUAAAAUUCAUUUGGUAAAUAUUAUAAUUUGACAACUUUUUAAAAUAUAUAACAAGUGAAAUAAUAGACUAUCUUCAAUAGUUUGGUAUUUUUACUUAGGAAAUUUUUUUAAAAAAAUAGACCUAGAACCUACCAAAGCAAAUCAGCAGGACCAGCAGAAUCUCUCCCGUGACAUCCAAAGAAGAACAGCCGGCUAGCAGCAGCAUCACCUGACACGCGAGGACCUGCCGGCCAGCAGCAGCAUCGUCACAUCUUAUCGGUCGCAUCGGACCAUUCAGCAGCACAAAGCAGGACCGUAUACUCCAAUCACAAUCAUACCACGACGCCAUUCACAGUCUGCGCAGGAAAGAGAAGAAGUCACGCCAACUAGAGGCAGCGCUGCGCGAAGACCAAUUGCCAAGCUCCAUGCGCACGCGCAUAUUUCAAGUUGGAAUAAAUGUACUGUUGGAGACUAUUUUUUCUUGUUUUGCUAAUUUUUUGUGAACGCCAAAUUAAAAUAGCAAACUGUUGGAGAUGAGUGGUAAUGCUUUUUAUAAAAAAAAUAAUAAAAACAGGAUAUCAUUGAUUAUUUUAAAAUUUUUGAAAAAGUUGAGUUAUAUUAAGAUUUUAUUUAUUUAUAUGAGUGAAAAUAUAACAAGGGAAAAACUAAAAAGAAAGAAAUAACGAGGCGAACCUCUGUUGCUGUGAAAAUAGUUGAAAUCGAAUACCGUGAAUCUCACAAUGCCAAAGACAUCCAAUGAUCCAAACACCGGAAAAACUCAAUUCCAAUUCCAAAUUCCAUCCCUGAAUAUCUACAUACAAACGCUACCUUAUGCUUUUCGUAGGCAACUCUUCUUGAACUAAAAACCACAUCUAUUUGAGUUUGAGUACGAUAAGAAAAUCUUGUUAUUCUCCAACUAUGAUGUGAACGUAUGAUGCGACUUUAGUGACUCAGCAUUUUUCUUCGUCAUCACACAUGCAAAUGUCUAGAAAGAAAUUGUUGUUGAAUCCUCUGUUGGGCCGGCCCAGCAAAAAUGUGUUGUGCGGAGCGAGUAACGCCCUUAUGGAGUAACGGGCCAGGCCCAAUUCAAUUUGCUCAGCGUCGCUGCGCGCGUGACUUUUCGGCAUUGCAUUGCAUAAGUACCACCUUGUUGACAAGCUCUGUUCCUGUCCAAUGCAGAAGCAUAUAAUAGGACCAAGGCGACAUUAGGAAGACACGCAGCUGCGCGGUGAGCACAAAGCGAACUAUUCUUUCGCCUUUUACUAAAGAAAUACCGGCCCCCAAAUAGCAGCAUAUGCUAAUUUUUGAAGGGGAUUUUUCUUUUGGAGGUCCCCACAAUUAAAAUCAAACUUCUCUUUUAUAUAAAUGAAAUUAUAAAUAAAAAAAAAAAUUACAAAACUGAACCAUCUAAUGGAAAUAAUAAAAUUGAUAAGAUUUUUUAUUUUGAAAAAAAUAAAGUUGUUUGCAUAGCGAUUCGUGAGUUCAUAAAAUAGAAAAUUUCUUUUGUGGGUGUGAAAGUAGUGUUUGCUAACGCUAACCCUUAAUGUUAAGGCGAACAUAGCAGAAACGCAAUAAUUCCUCUUUAUAGAAAAACAAACUACUUUUGGAUUGAACAUAUAAGUUAUAUGGGCCAAAUUUGUUCAAAAAAAGUUUUAUGGGCCAACAUAACACAACCAGACUUGCAGUGCAUUGAAGAAAAUAAUUAGCCCAGAGGUGGCACACUAAACAUUUCGACUAAGAAAAACAGAAGUGGCAGUGAGGUUGUUGGAGGACGUUUGGAGCCAGAGUCGUUUUAGAAAAGUCAUAAUUUGUGGCUUCGCCAAAACGUCUCCGAUUCCUCUAUUUUUUUACUUAAAAACAACUUCUUUAGAAAAACGUUUGGCAGCUAGAGUCAGAGCUGGAAAGGAGCUCUGCCAAACAUGCCCUUAACAUCUCCGAGAGACCAAGAGGCUCUCUACAUGUCUUUUUACCGUUACAAAUUUAGAAAAAAAAAACAGACUCCAUCACUCCAAUAUACUUUUCAACCACUCUCCAUUAUUCUCAAUCUCUUCCCCUCUACUAAUAGAAAGGCUAGAUUUGAUGUCUACAUCCUCUCAUAAAAAAAUAGAAUAAAUCAUUGGAUAUAUAGAACAAAUUUUAGAUAGUGUUAGAUACAAAGUUUUUUUUUUGCUAUGUUACAUACUAAGUUUAGAGAUGCUCUUAGAGUUGCUCAAAGAAACCACUAUCUUUUCUUUGAGGGUUUUAUUCUAGAAAAAAUAGUCCAUUUUUUCACUUCACAUUGUACAAGCAAAGAGGCCUCUAUCCCUCUCCCUCCUGAGAAUACAAUUUUGGAGGGUCUAAAAUGUUUGUUUCCUCUUUAGAUUGUACAAAUAAAAAAAGACUACUAUCCUUUUUUAGUACAAUCUUGGAAGAUCUAGGCCUUGAUUGUUUUUCAAUUUGCAUUGUGGAAACCAUCAUUUUUGUAUAUAAGUUGAUGAAGUGGGAAACGAGCAAACAAUUUUUUUCUCUCAGCUUCCACAAUCUAUUUGGAAGACUUAGGCUAGUCUCAGUGAGAAUUUCAUUAGAGUAUCAUUUGCAUUUAUUGAGCUUCCACAUAAGCAUUUUUUAUAAUGUGGCAAUGUUUUUAAGAAGAAAGAGAAUAAGUGAGUUUUAUGGAGAUAAAACUCUUUUGAUACGAGUACCAACUCUUUAUGAGUCAUAUAAUUAAGUGUUUAUGAAACUAUAGAAUGAAACUCUCUGGAGGUUUCGUCCAAGUUUCAUUUCAUUCUACAUGACAUGGCAGUCUUGAAAAUGACGUCAUGAAAAUCUCCACAGAGACUAGUCAUAGGGUCUGUUUGGAGGGCUCAUGGGGCUCCUCUACUGUACCUCCUCCAACUCCUCUCUCUGCAGUUUAUUUCUAGGCAGAGCCAAAGCCGUUUUUCUAGGAGACCAAGCCCAAGCCUCUCGAAGCCAUACCAAACGGGGCUAGAAGUGUAGUGAGCCCCAAACCCUGAUGUGUACAGUACAUUUAUAAUCUUUUGUAGGCAAGGCAAGACUGGUACUUUCAGCAUCAGUUAAAAGGACCUAGGAAUGCAUGGGUUUUUCCUUUUCUGCUUUUUUCUUGUGAAAUGAACUGAUUCCUAUAAAAUCAAUGACUCAUGUGAAAUUCCUGUUUUCCAAAAGGGCCCUUAGAUGGGAUGUACAGUACAAAUCAAGUAUAUGUGGGUUAUUGAAGCCAAAGGGUUUAAGCGUUAUUUGAUUACAACACCAACCAACACAAGAGCACGGUGGUUACAGAACUUUUACAACAUACAACCCUGGGGGUUGGUUACACAGCCUCAUACGUACACGUAAGUUACUCCAGCCUCCAGGAGAAGCAACUCCAUGAAACCCAAACCCCACAGAAAUUUGAUUUAGAACUUUCACAUCAAAACUCACCAGCUUUUCCUGAAAAAAACCAAGAGGAGCCGAUAAGAUACACACGUCAAAGCACACUGACAACACCCAUCAGUCACAGACGCACGCACGCCGUCAAGUAGCAGCAGGAGCAGCAGCAUCGUCGGCAGCCUUGUCCUGCUGGUUCUCGCCAGCCUCGUCAAUGGCCAUGGCGUCCGGUUCCCGCUCUGCUGAUGCUGAUGUGACGCGGCCCUCGUUGGACGUCCGCUCCUCACUCUCCACCGGACCUGGCGGGACCGUGGCCGUGCUGGAGCUGCCACCUCCUUGCUCCCCCACCAGGCUCGUCAGGCCGUUCUGCUUCAUAUAGUUAUCAAGGGGCCGGCUCGCCACUUCCAAGAGGCCCAUCAUGCUCACCGGCCGGGGCUGCUGCACGCCAUGCUGUCCAUGAUCGCCACGGGCGGCAGGGGCAGGGUGGAAGUUGAGGUCGAUGUGCCCCUUGUUCAUGUCGGCCACCUUGUCAAACAUGGUCACAUCACUGUUGUCUCGGGUGGUGUCCAGCGUCUGCGGGGAUCUUGACAGGUUGCUCCCCUCAGGCUCUUCUCUGUUCACCCAUGUGAUCUUCUUGCUCGCCUCUGCCUCCUCUCGCUCCGACUGCCGCUGCUUCUUCCUCAUCAUCAGUGUCUUGAACCGACGCCUGACUGUCAUGCACACGUUGCAGGUGCACGAAGGGUUGUGCUUCGGGCCCUUGCCACUGGGCGGCUGGAUGCACACAAUGCAUGUGCAGCCAGGGCGAUGCCGGGGGUGCUUUGUGGUUGUCGCGACUGAAGCGGUGCCUUGGUUCCCGACUUCACCAAAUACUGCAGCAGUGGCCAAGGCGUCAAGGCUGGAUGCAUCCAUUUCAGCGACAUUCAGCUUCAGACCAUAGCUGCCCUUUCGCCUCCUCAUUUCUGCAAUAUACAUUGUAUGAGCAAAAGCUGCAGUAUGAGCUCCUCCUCUACAAAGUCCUGACAAAGUUGACUUAUCAAAAUAUAUCACCAAAAUAUAUCUGCCUCACUUCCUCAUUAGUCAUUAGUCAUUACUCAAACCAAUCAACUGUUACAUUGAUUAUGGUAAAGAGUUAUGGCUACUCUGGAUGUGUAUCUCUUAAGAGUUACACAGCAAGAGGCCUUUUUUGCAUGCAAGCCAGGGCUAAGGGCUUGAACCCUGACCACCAGCCUCCCAACUGGAGGUCCUACCACUGUUUAUCACUGUGUUUAAAAUUUUGUUUUCAAGGUCAGUAAACAUAAGUAAAUUGUACCUUCAUACUGCUGCAUAACACUUUGCAACUCUUUCGGGGUCAACUCUUCAGGCGCAGAGCAGGAGCAGCUGGAAUAGUUGAAUUUAAAGUAUAAUGAGAAUUAGUAGGAGUAACAAAAGUAAGGAUAGAGCAGUCCAGCAAGGGAGUAAGGGACAGUGUCACAGACAAAUGGCCUCCAGCAAGAGAUAGUGUCACCCUCUACUCUUAAUGAAAUUCGUACAUGCCUAGGUACGGUCUUGGAAAAAACAAGGGAUUGUCACAGAAAAUUGGCCUGAUUCCAGCAAGUUUUUUCAAUACGAAUCGUUGAGAGAGAUCCCGAGAGAAAAGAACAUCUUUCAAAGUACAUGGACAAAUCUAGCAAAUCCAGGAUCAAGUGUGACUAAAAUUCUGGAUUGACCUAGACUACGGAUAAGACAAGACUGUAACAUGAAAUGAAACAGAUCAGAUGAAGACCAUAUAAUUCAUUGUUCCACACCAAUAAGAUCAUCACACCAAAGUUUCAGAAUUCUAAGACUAAAAAGAUUGAUCGGAUCGCACAUCGCCCAACGCAUCAAGAGAGAACACAAUAUAGCAUUACCUUUUUGGGUCCCAUGAGUUGUCGGUGCAUGUCCAUUUGGAUGCAACAAUAACAUUAAGAGGCAACCGACGCCAUUUUGAGCACUCAUCACAUUGAAUCCACUGAUCUUGUUCCCUACAAAUCCAAAAUUAGAAAUUUGACAUAAUUGGCACUUGACACCAAGUCACCAAUGAUAUGUACAUGACUCCCAUUUAGACAACAAACCCUCAAACAGUAUGACAACUACACAGUUAAUGCAAUAGGUGAAUGAAUGUCACUGCUUUUUCAAUUUUUCUUUUUCAUUUCCACCUCUUAAAGCAUUAUGGCAUUUCUUUUUCAGGGAAGGUAUAUAAAAUUCAAUCUCAGGCAUUGUCCUAGAAUUAGAUGUGUCUCGCUUAGAUUGUCCUAGAUUGGAAGAAGAUCUUAAGACAUAAGUAAUUUCAGGUUUUUUUAUGUUAGGGGAAAGGUAUUUAAAAUGUGUUAUGAAAAAAUACAACUCAUCAUGGAUACUAUUCAUAAUCACUCAAAAGUAAACAAAAAAUAAUGAUACUGUAUCUUUUUUCCGAUCAUUUACUUACCCUGUUGCACGGAUGGUGAAAAUUGAUCUCUUUGCAAAGACAGGGGGUUCCUGCAUGUAUGUACUAUGGUUAGAGCAGGUUGAAGAUCAUUCAAGUAUUUUUGUGAUGAACAAAGAUCAGAUUUUUGUGCCUGGCAGAGAGGAUGCUCCAUGAUUUGGAACAAGAACAAUGAAAUGAAUAGCAAACUUACAUCAUAUUCUUCAAAUUCAUAGUCCUCAAUCAUCACAACAGUUGGCUUUGCAGUGGGAGCAGGGCGCAACAACUCUUGAGCCUCUUCCCAGGUAAGCUUUAGUUCCAUGGCAUCUUCAGCAUCGAUUAAGAACCUCCUGCUUUUGGAACCAAUAUUGCGACUACGUUUUUGUAAAAAUUGCAAAGACCCCUCAUCUGGCCUGCCGCCAAAUUUAUCUGCCUUAUUCCAACUGACAUCCCCAUCAGCUGAGUUCAUAUGAUGAUCAUAUAGAGAGCUUGGAUGGAGAUCUGCAGCUCCCUUUAUUGAGUGAAGAAAUCCAGGAUAACCACUUACUACUCCUAUGUUCUCAUUUGCAGUAGAAAAGAGUGUCUCACUGAGAAUGGAACCAUUUGCAAUAGCCGAAAUCUGUGAGUCCUGUGUAAAAGUAAUAAACAAACAUUGAAGCAAAAACAUGAAAAAGGAGAUAAAAAACAAGCAAUUGCCACAACAACAGAUUUUCUGAUGGAUAAUCUAACUUACUGGCAGACUAACAGUAUUUGUGGCCUUCCGAAAGCCCAUAACAAGUUUCCCUCCAGGAUCUAUACGACUAAAGGUCACUGCAGAAAAUACCCACACAAAAAAAUGAUUCCAGUAAACAACAUUCCGAGAGCAUGAUACAUGACAUAAUACUAUUCGUAUUCGGCAUAAUUUACUAUAGCAUGGAAACCAUGUGAAAAAUAGUAAGAAGCUAUACCAUAUACGUAGUAUUAAAAACAAACUUCAAUCAACAAAGAAGUGAAGUGCAUGCUUGCAAAUAGAUGCUUAUUAUCAUGUCCAAGGAAAUAAAUUCCUAAUUACCUGUAUCGCCAGCUUGUAGUUGCAAAGACUGUAUGCAUGGUGUAACACCCUCCAAGACGUACAUUCUGCUGUUAUUAUUUGGCCAAAACCUAAACUGAAAAUGCCAUUCUUUUCCUCUUGCAUCUUGGAUUGUCAAGGGGCGACCUUCUGGUUGAGAAAUUGGGGGGAAAUAUGCCUACACAGAGAACCCUGUUAACUCAGGAUGACAGAAACAAUGGGGAAAGAAUGCAUACACAAGCAGCUUCCUGCACUAGCAGUAAAUUUCGUGAACAGAAGCAGUAGACCACAACAAUGAAAAGAUGCACAUUGAUUAAUUAUUUACAUGACUAUGAGAGUAUCCAUGGACAUAUACUAUAGGAACUCAAAUAAGAUCAUUGCAGUGCUACCAUAGAUAUGGUAGUGGUUCAACAUUAGGAUGCAUUUAGGUUGAACAGUAACUGCAAGACAUUACGGUGGAUUUUCCAAUUUUAACAUAUACACAAUGUACAGGAUGACGAUCCCCUUCGUAUAUGGUAGAUGGUAUAUAUGUAGAUCCUAUUGAUCCAGGACAAUACCAUGUUUAUUUUUGUAAAAUAUGGACAGGAGGAAGGUCAAAUGCUUUUGAUGUUCCUUCCAAAGAGCUUUUGGAAGAUAAAUCAGCAAUGUAUAAUAAAAAAAAUACUUAAAUUAUUAAAAGGGAGCCAAACAAAUGUUAAAGUUACCUCAGCACAAGCUUUUGGAAGAACAAGGCGCCCUAUGCGGCCUGCAUCACUCGCACUCAGGACCUUCUCGAACAAUGGAACGAUUGUGGAAUUUGAACUUGCAAAAUAUAGUCAAGGAAGACAAAAGAAAACCUACAUCUGUUACAAAAAGAAUUUAUGCAGCAUAUUAUGUGGGUUUAAGCCUAGUGAGCUAUUCUGGAGCCUUGUAUCUAUAAGUUACUAAAUGUCAGAGAUGAAAUGUCACCAGGAAGUUGACAAUUUCAAAUGUAUGAAGGCCUUAUCAAGGAUACUCUCCAGAUAUUUGUUGCAGCUCUUGGUCUGUUAUUCUUGGCCAAUACCGAGGAAGUAAUUGAUUGCGGCCCCUUCCCUCAGCAGGCGGUCUAGCAACACGAAGAUGCGGAAACAUGUCUCUCGUUGGAUCAAAAGCAGCACCUUCACCAACCCUUGGUGGUCUGGUCAAGAAAUGCCGAGCCCUUUGUGCGUGCUGAUAGGGAGAUAGUGUAGUGGCAAGUUCUCUUCCUUCAGCAAUGGCUGUUGUUGGCGAUAGCAUAGGUCUUUCCGCUGUUGAAGUAGCCUCCAUCCUGUUUCCAUUGCUUGCAAUACCUAGGCUCAUGCUCAGACAUGCCUCUGAAAACGAUUCACUUGUGCUAUCUGUAGUUGGAUCCUUAUUGUCAUCUCUUCGAGUACAUUGAGGUGACUCUAAUGCACUUUGAGACCUAGUUAGGAAAGGCCUUCCCAUGUCCCCAAUACUAAGGGUUGGUUGUUCCCAUUUAAUCUGCCUUGAACCAUUCUCUAUCUCUUUUUGUCUCAAGAUGUUACUGCUUUGUCCAGCCUCUAUGCCUCUUACCAUGAACAGGUGAUUGCUCUUAUUUACAAUAGCAAUAUCAUCAUUUCUGGAAUCCAACAUAAGAGAGGGUGGUUGUUCAAAUUUUCUACUUGACAAUAACUCAUCGGUUUUACCCAAAAACCGCAGAUUAUUUGGACAUUGGAAAAGCUUUGGAACCACUUGGCCAGAAGCCUGUAAAAAGUACAAUCAGAAUAUUUGAAAAGGAAAGGUGGAUAAUGCGACAAAAAAAACUUACAGACUGAGCUGCUGAAUUUUUCAUGCAAGUGACACAUUGAACUCCUCCACUGUCAAGUAGAUCAUAUGAGUUCUUUGAGGCAACACAUCCACAAUGGAGGCGCUGAAACAGUAGAAUUUCAUAAGAAUACUGUUGCAUUACAGUUCAGCCCAAGAAUUUGGAGAAUCGAUUCCUCUGCAGUCGACCGCAUGGUGUAUUUGUCACUGGCAUAUGGGCCUGACGACCUGCCAGUGACAAAGUCACCAGACACCAGGGACUCGACUACACUCAACUGCAGAGGAUCUCAUCGUAGAAUUUGCAUGUAAUUGCGGCUUGGGUCGCCACCUCACCUUCCCACAAAAUGAGCAGUCUCUCCAUCCUGAUUCCUUUUGGUGAAAUAUAUCACAAAACACAAACUGUUCAUAUGCCAACCUAGAUACACCAGAAACCGCACGUUAGAAAUUAGAAUGGGGCCAAUCUAGUAGGAAUUAAACAAUAAUAAGGAUUUCCUAAGAGAGAGAGAGAGAGAGGAUGAAGCAAGUCCUUAAAAGAAACAAGUUCUUAUAUUAUUGUUUGAAAAACAAAAAACAUGUACUUCCUAUAAUCAAACCAAAUGGUGAACAGAGCAUGUAGUUCCCGCAGAACCAAUAUCAUCGUUAAAGGGUGAACUGUUGGUACCAAGCAACAAUUUUGUUCCAAUCCCAUAGCACAAAAUAGGUGAGGCAAAUAGUCGCCUCUACCAAACAGAGGUGAGGCUCAUCCCUGACACCAACCCGGUCAGAACUCAUUGGGGGCAAAUCCACAGUGACCGAUGCAAAUGUCAGUGCGCUUCUUGCUUUCAGUGACGAACGUAUGAGAGUCCGAGCCAGCUGAACACUGACGAAAUUCUCAAUUGCAGCUAGUACCAAAUCGGUUCGUCAGAUUCUACGACCCACCCAGCAGUCGAGGCAUAGUCAACGCAACUUUCCGGAGUCUCUACACGCUCCAGCUCGGCACGGUUUCCACAUAAAUCCGCUCGUUCGUUGGGUUUCGCUAGGGACGAAUGAUGCGCAAAAUCGCCGCACCUUUAUACAGCAUCAGGUGGAAAAAAAAAAGAAGGGAAAAGGGGGAACAAAGUCGCAAAGCAUCGAAACGUAAAAGGGGAGGACUGAGGACUGAGGAGAAGGCGAACGGCAUGAACCAAUUCCAGUUCACCCAUCCAAUCCAAUCCAGGUGCCCGCCCCAUUCGCAUGAGGACGGCGGCGGCGCAUAGGACAAGCGGAGCGGACAUGGAGGAGUAGGAUCGUACCCGCACUUGUCGCAGAGCAAGGCGAAGCCUCCGGAUCGCAGCGGCCAGCCCUUCCUCCAGUCCCCUCCCGCCCCGACCACGGACGACGCCGGCCCACCGCAGGCCGGGUUCAUGCACCUCUUGGCCGCCACCGCGCCGCCACCCGGCAUAGCCAUGGGUGGCCGGCGAACGCAGGCACUCCUCUGAUCAAAGGUGAGCUGAGCGCAUCGCCCACGGAGGGAGAGUGAAAGAGAGACGGGGCGAAAGACGAGACACCCAGCUAGAGGCGGUGGGGGAGGCGUAGCUUUCCGGUGGAUGUGGAGGGGACAACGAACGCGCGCACCCAGCCGCGGGCGGUCGCUGCUGGCGAUUGGUGCAUGCGGGUGCGGGGAAGACAAGGAAUGGAAUGGAAUACGAGGGGGAUCGGGGAAGGGAUGGGGCGGGGCGGGGCGAGGCGAGCGAGGAAGCCGUAGUGGUGGUUGUAGUAAACUAACAGCAACAGCCCAUCCUCCUCUCUCUCGGCGCUGUUGUUGCUAACGACUGAUUGAUAAAAAAGAAGAAAAAAAAAUAGUCCUAGUACAAUUAUCACAGAAGAGUAGAGUAGUGGUCAGUCACUCACUCGCAGGGGUGGACGAAAUUUUUUAUAUGUUUCUUCUGAAAAAACAAUUGGCAGGAAAGCAAAGUGAUGAGUCCUUUUCAGGGCUGGAGCAUGGCAAGCAUGCACGCACGACAUGGUCCUCCGGUCUGCUGCUUUUUGUAUUUCUUGCUGCGCUGGCCGGCCGGGCCGGGGAGACUCCGAGAGAAUCGAUCGCAUGAGCUAGCGCUAUAGCUAGCGCAGACUCCAGCAGGAGUACUAUCACAGGCAGCCAGGCAGCCAAGCCAGCGUUGCGUGCCACGAACGACGACUUUGCUUGCCUGCCUGGACUGCAGGGGUGUGCCUGUUCCCGCAGGCGUGCAGCGUGCUACUACCUUUGCUGCAUGCCUGCCUCUGCCUGCCCUGUUUCCUGCACCAUCGUCACGCUGCCUCUGAUUCGUGGUGGAUCAUGGAGGAAAAAGAAAACAAACCCCGUGGGCGCCAUCGACGUGCAUGUAGUUGAACGCGCAAGCAAGAGCACCAGUAACCCUAACAUACACAUUCUGAAUAUAUAUUUCUCGGGUUUCCUAUGUGUUUUACUUAUUUAGGCCUUGUUUAGUUCCGAAAAGAUUUUGGAUUUUUCAUUUUCGUUUGUUUGUGUCAAAUAUUGUCCAAUUAUAAACUAACUAGUCUUAAAAAAUUCGUAUCGUAAAUUACAAAUAAACUGUGUAAUUAGUUUUUAUUUAUUUUUUUGUAUAUUUAGUGCUUCAUACAUGUAUCAUAAGAUUUUAUGUGACGGGAAAUUUUGAAAAGUUUUUAAAUUUUAGGUGAACUAAACAAGGCCUUAAUAUUCAUCGGUGAAGAGAACACGAAACAGGAUGAUGCAUGCAUGCAUGUCAAUGCGCAGCGCAAGGCAACAGUAGUAGUGAAUGCGAAGGGAAUAAUGCCGGGCCGGCCGAUUCUGGCUGACCACUUUGCAGCGCGUGGCAGGCAGUGUACGGCCAAUUCAAUGCCCCGCGCCGCGCCGCGCCGGCCGGCCAUCGAAGGCACCUGAUCCGCCUGGCUCGCCUCCGCACGAAUCGUGUCGUAACGUCGCCUUCAGGCUCAGCUGCUGCAGCUACCAGUGCCAGCCUACCACUACCAGCCCAGGUGGUGGCCGGGAACCCGAGCCUGAGGCGGCCGGGCGUGGCGCCCCGCUCACACGCGACACGCACGGCUCGUCCUCCUCGUAGCGAGCGAAAACGUCGACUUUGUACUGUAGCCUCGGCCCGCGGCAGGCAAUUCGCCAAGGUGGUGGUGGGUGUGGCUCGCCGCGCCCGCGCGCCAGUCGCCACGACGGAGACGUGGAUGGACAUGGACGCCGCGGGGGCGGGGGCGGGGCCGGGGCGAGGCGUCCACGUCGACGUCGCUCGCGGACUCGGCGUGAACAUGAAGCUGCCAAGGGCGCCAGAGCAUCAUGCGUCGUCCGCUGCCGACGCACCAGGUGAAGGUCACCAGGUGAAGAUCGCGGACGAACGAUGGCCCAAGGGGCACGGUUGGGUUUGGGUUACGUGCGGCCGACACGAGUCCCCGUCGCGGACAGUGACGGCGACGGCUCGGGGCCGGAGCACGGGUUUCCGGGCCCUCGUGGAAGUGAGUGGACCACCCGAUUCGCCAGCCGAACGAUGAGCAUUCAGGACGUUGAACGGGACACCGGCCCGUACAAGUAUACUACUCAGCCUACUCCUAGCUACCUACGAGUACGGAGUAUUCCCUCCAUACCACGAAGAAAUCAUGUAGGGAUGUGAAAAGAUUUUAGAUUUCGCUACCGUAGCACUUUCGUUUGUUUGUGGUAAAUAUUGUCCAAUCAUAGACUAACUAGGAUCAAAAGAUUCGUCUCGUGAUUUACAGUUAAACUGUGCAAUUAGUUUUUAUUUUCGUCUAUAUUUAAUGCUUCAUAUAUGUGUCGAAAGAUUCGAUAUGACAGACUGACAGGGAAUCUUCAAAAUUUUUUGGUUUUUGGGUGAACUAAACAAGGCCUAGGCCAAUAACAUGGUCUCUAAAACCUAACUUUGACUCCUAUAUGUAUACUUUUAUGAAAUCAAAAAGUGGUAUAUAUAUACUUUUUAUAAAAAUAUUUUUCAAAACAAAUCUAUUCAUAUAGUUUUCACAUUCUAAAUUCAACAACUUAAAAGUUAUUCAUGAUUUAUAUUCCCAAUGUUUGACACCUUGUCCAAAACAUCUUGUAAACUUUUGAAAUUUUAAAGAGAUCUAAACAGGCCCUGUCAACUUCUCUCAAAUUUAAUUAGCUUUAUAUAAAAUAUUAGCAAUAUUUAUAUCACUAAAUAAAUCUAUAAAAUAUAUUACAUAAUUUAUAUAACAAUAUUAAUUUUAUAUUAUAAAUAUUAUUAUUCUUUUAUAUAUAAUUACUUAAAAUUAAAAAAAAACUUCUCGAGAUCAAGGCUAUACUGUUUGGACCUGGUGACUGGAGAGGUUGGUCCCUGCAGUUUUUUUUUCUACAAAACUAAACAUAUUCUCAUGAAAAUCUAUAAAACUCCUUUUUCCUAUAACAUUACUAUAUUCUUUUCUCAAAUAUGCAAAAAAAACAAUUGUGCAAUAUUAUAAUUAAGUUGGAAGAGUUUGAACAUACAAACGACAUACUUCGGAUGCCCUACUAGGUGGUCUAGAUUUAGGUCUUGUUUAGUUCUGAAAAGUGAAAACUUUUCGAUACUGUAGCAUUUUCAUUUGUUUGUGACAAAUAUUAUCUAAUCAUAAACUAACUAGAAUUAAAAGAUUCGUCUCGUGAUUUACAGCUAAACUGUGUAAUUAGUUUUUGUUUUCGUCUAUAUUUAAUGUUUUAUGCAUGUGCCACGAGAUUCGAUGUGACGGGAAAUCUUGAAAACUUUUUGGUUUUCAGGGGUGAAGUAAACGGCCUUAAGUAGAAAGCAUGUGCGACCUCGAUUUUAUAUACGCUUGGCUGGCGAGAAUGGAGGAGGAGGUGUCGCCUACUGACUGAACCUAGGAUGGCGGCGGUGGAGUCGGCACAUGGAAGAGGUGCAGGUGGGAGUCCAUAUAGGGCGGAAGGGUAAAAAAAGAAAAGAAAAAAAAAAGAGGAGCACAAUAGAGUUAACUUUCGUAUUUUUCAGUGCUUAUGUAAGGAUUGUUCUCAAUUUGUGUUUCAUUUUGUCUAUGUACUGUACUUUCUCUAUAUUUGAAAAGGAAGUCGUUUUGACAACGACAC